Molecule: ribosomal RNA, 301 nt
Filed under: uncultured bacterium
Lineage: Bacteria
Description: partial 16S ribosomal RNA
Rfam family: Bacterial small subunit ribosomal RNA
Source: RNAcentral
CAGCAGCCGCGGUAAUACGAGGGGGGCAAGCGUUGUUCGGAAUUAUUGGGCGUAAAGGGUGCGUAGGCGGUUUGAUAAGUCUUGUGUGAAAUCUAUGGGCUCAACCCAUAGUCUGCAUAGGAAACUGGGAAACUUGAGUGCAGAAGAGGAGAGUGGAAUUCCACGUGUAGCGGUGAAAUGCGUAGAGAUGUGGAGGAACACCAGUGGCGAAGGCGACUCUCUGGUCUGUAACUGACGCUGAGGAGCGAAAGCGUGGGGAGCGAACAGGAUUAGAUACCCCAGUAGUCCCUGUCUCUUAUAC